This 331-nucleotide unclassified non-coding RNA is filed under the name soil metagenome. RNAcentral describes it as "partial contains 5.8S ribosomal RNA, internal transcribed spacer 2, and large subunit ribosomal RNA". The stretch from base 1 to 120 matches the Rfam family "5.8S ribosomal RNA", at positions 35 to 154 of the family's 154-position model. The record is from RNAcentral.
GAUGAAGAACGUAGCGAAAUGCGAUAAGUAAUGUGAAUUGCAGAAUUCAGUGAAUCAUCGAAUCUUUGAACGCGCAUUGCGCCCCCUGGUAUUCCGGGGGGCAUGCCUGUUCGAGCGUCAUUUCACCACUCAAGCCUCGCUUGGUAUUGGGCAACGCGGUCCGCCGCGUGCCUCAAAUCGACCGGCUGGGUCUUCUGUCCCCUAAGCGUUGUGGAAACUAUUCGCUAAAGGGUGUUCGGGAGGCUACGCCGUAAAACAACCCCAUUUCUAAGGUUGACCUCGGAUCAGGUAGGGAUACCCGCUGAACUUAAGCAUAUCAAUAAGCGGAGGA